Long non-coding RNA from Centrocercus urophasianus (Greater sage-grouse), 1473 nucleotides. RefSeq lists it as uncharacterized. The record is from RefSeq and is a predicted model, not a curated record. The transcript has 2 exons. Lineage: Eukaryota; Metazoa; Chordata; Aves; Galliformes; Phasianidae.
UACAGCUCACAGUGGGGUGCCCAGAACACCCCACAGUUGUGGGGAGCAGCUGGCGCAAGAGAAGUAAGUCCUGAGGCUGCAGCAAAGAUUUUGGGUCAUUUGCAGUGGCUCAGUGGGACCUUGCAGAGGCAAAAAGCAGCUGGGGAUGUGCUCUACAGUUCUGUGCUGGUUUGCAGGUUCCUCAGGAGUGGUCCUGGGUCAUCUGGCACGUUCAGGUUUGGGUUCACUGGUUCCCAGAACUUCAGCACUCCACCACCUGCUGUCAUGACAUACCCUCAUAGACACUGAAGCACGCUGAAGUGUUGAUGCUCCUACCAGUGGUCCUGUGGACUUGACAGCCUCAAGGGGAGUAGUACAGAUGUUUAAAAGGUAUGAGGAGUGGUGGGUCUGCCUUCAGUGGUAGGAUACAGGCUGUGUUUUUGUCUUGAGUCAAACACCUCCACUUGUGCUGGGGCAUGUCCUGGCCUUUGGUACAACAUCCUUUGUCCUGAUAUCUGGGGCAGGAUCACUAUAUCAGGUACUACAGGGGGGUGGGGGUUCUCAUUUGCCGUGUGGACAUGUCUCACUUCAGGUGCAAGCAUAAACACUCAUAACUACAGGAAAACCACGUGGAAACAGAAAUACGAUCAUGAUGUAUGUUCCACCGCCAAAUGCUCUAGGAGUUCCGUAAACCGAGGUUUAUGGAACCAAAAUCAGAUUGCUAGUUUCUGAAAGAGAUUUGGUGAAGGCUUUGAGGUUUUCAAAGGAAUAAGCCAUUGUGAGCAUAAAAGACAGCCAAGGACUAGGUAACAGUAUCGAAACUGGGAGGUAUGAGUUUGCUUCUCAUCCAAGAUAAAUGGCAGAGAGGUGUACCUAUCGGUGGUAGAAAAAGAGAGACCACACUCUACAUCACACGGAUAGGUGGCAAGAUUAAAUAAAAUGCAGGCCACAUGGGCAGAUGAUGUACAAAAGAAAAAGAAAACAAAUGAAAUCAGAGUCAGCCUGAAGAUAUUUCUCCUAGAAACACCUACGAGCCAUCACCUCCUUUCCUAUCACUGUUGUAUCACUGUUCCCUGGGAGCAGAAGCUGACCUUCACCACACCUCAAACAUGUUUCAGGGAGUUGCAGAGAGUGAUAAGGUCUCCCUUGGAGCCUUAUCUUCUUCAGACUCAACAAUCCUAGCUCCCUCAGCCACUCCCCAAAAGACUUGGAUUCCAGACCAUUCUCCACUUUCGUUGCCCCUCUCCGGACACAUUCCAUGGCCUCAAGGUCUUUCUUGGAGUGAGUGGCCCAAAACUGAACACACAGCUCAUGUUGUGGCCUCACCAGGCAGACAAUCACCUCCUUAGUCCUCUUGAAUGAUCUUUGAACUCUCUGAUAUGUACUAUCUUUGUGUCUUUGUAUACUUGCCUGUGAAUUAUUCAGGCCCCUCUAUGAAUUCUGUGAAAAGCAUCAUCGUAAACUGCAGAGCAAAGAAAUCAAUACGGCAUAAAA